AGAGUUUGAUCCUGGCUCAGGAUGAACGCUAGCGGCAGGCUUAAUACAUGCAAGUCGUGGGGCAGCAUGGGUGUAGCAAUACAUCUGAUGGCGACCGGCAAACGGGUGCGGAACACGUACACAACCUUCCUUUUAGUGGAGAAUAGCCCAGGGAAACUUGGAUUAAUACUCCGUAACAUAUAGAAGUGGCAUCACUUUUAUAUUAUAGCAGCAAUGCGCUAGAAGAUGGGUGUGCGGCUGAUUAGAUAGUUGGCGGGGUAACGGCCCACCAAGUCGACGAUCAGUAACUGGUGUGAGAGCACGACCAGUCACACGGGCACUGAGACACGGGCCCGACUCCUACGGGAGGCAGCAGUAAGGAAUAUUGGUCAAUGGACGCAAGUCUGAACCAGCCAUGCCGCGUGGAGGAUGAAGGUCCUCUGGAUUGUAAACUUCUUUUAUCUGGGAAGAAAUCCAUUUUUUCUAAAAUGGUGACGUACCAGAUGAAAAGACCGU
RNAcentral lists this ribosomal RNA (495 nucleotides) under uncultured soil bacterium. Its description in RNAcentral is "bacterial SSU rRNA". It matches the Rfam family "Bacterial small subunit ribosomal RNA", at positions 8 to 494 of the family's 1533-position model. The record is from RNAcentral.